Molecule: non-coding RNA, 28 nt
Filed under: Bombyx mori (domestic silkworm)
Lineage: Eukaryota; Metazoa; Arthropoda; Insecta; Lepidoptera; Bombycidae
Source: RNAcentral
UUGUUGAUAUUGUAGAAUGAGAUACGCC